RNAcentral lists this ribosomal RNA (459 nucleotides) under uncultured bacterium. RNAcentral describes it as "partial 16S ribosomal RNA". It matches the Rfam family "Bacterial small subunit ribosomal RNA", at positions 338 to 795 of the family's 1533-position model. The record is from RNAcentral.
CCUACGGGAGGCAGCAGUGAGGAAUAUUGGUCAAUGGUCGGGAGACUGAACCAGCCAAGCCGCGUGAGGGAUGAAGGUACAGAGUAUCGUAAACCUCUUUUGUCAGGGAACAAAGGCGGGGACGCGUCCCCGGAUGAGUGUACCUGAAGAAAAAGCAUCGGCUAACUCCGUGCCAGCAGCCGCGGUAAUACGGAGGAUGCGAGCGUUAUCCGGAUUUAUUGGGUUUAAAGGGUGCGUAGGCGGACUGUAAAGUCAGCGGUAAAAGCCCGGGGCUCAACCCCGGCCCGCCGUUGAAACUGGCAGUCUCGAGUUGGAGAGAAGUAUGCGGAAUGCGUGGUGUAGCGGUGAAAUGCAUAGAUAUCGCGCAGAACUCCGAUUGCGAAGGCAGCAUGCCGGCUCCACACUGACGCUGAGGCACGAAAGCGUGGGUAUCGAACAGGAUUAGAUACCCGGGUAGUC